GGGGAAUUACGAGGGAAAGGAGAAGAGAGGGGAGGAAAGGAGAAGGGAGGGGAGGGAAGUGUGAAUGUCUCUUCCCAUUUUUGUUGGCAUAGGUCUGUGGUCCUUCUGUUGUGAACACUUUCCGCGUAGAGUGGCACUGUCAAGCGCAUGGUUUGGAAUUCACAUGCAUGUAUCCUUAAGGUCAGGUAAGCUGAAUCUGCUGAAGUCAGACUCGACAGGAUCCCCACUCAGCCAGACAUCAAAGGCGAAGCCUUGAAACUGGAGAGAUUAGGAGUACUAGCUGCCAACAUCCAAGUAUCUGCCGCCUUUCCUGCCUCUCUAUCACUGGAUAGAGAAACUUAUUUCUUUAAUAGGAAGUAAUAAUAAUAAUUCCUAUUUCCUUGAGUCAAUUCUCCUUUUCUUAAGGUUUUGUGCUUCUUCCGCAUUUUAAGACUGCCG
RNAcentral lists this long non-coding RNA (438 nucleotides) under Phascolarctos cinereus (koala). RNAcentral's name for it is "lncRNA (ENSPCIG00000031865.1)". The record is from RNAcentral. Lineage: Eukaryota; Metazoa; Chordata; Mammalia; Diprotodontia; Phascolarctidae.